UGUUCUAUGGUGUGGUAACUGUGUUUCAUUUAACACAUACUCCGUCCGUUGAGGUGUCUGAAUGAGUGAAUACUGUUCUGAUCCUGGUCUUGUUUGUUAUUGCGCGAGAGGGCCAGAUGGCGAUGAAGGGCUUCGUCCCGCCUACUGGCGCUGUUGAUUGGCGAACUUUCAGGGGAGUAACUCACAUGAUUCCUAUUUUGACUGUGUUUUAACAUGGGCUCGAAGUUGUGUUAACGCGCACGUUGUCGUUUGUAGUAUCCCAGGCAUGAAACUAAGUCAAAGGCUUUCACCGGAAAAUAACUUAAAAUAAACGGGAGUCCCUGACUUGUCAAGUAAUGGUAAUUUAAUGCAGUAUUAGGGUGAGUUUAUGGCAUCAACAAUGUUCCAAUGGUGCAGUCACAGAUAAUGGCAUUUUCAACGUAGCCUACUUGCGUGACAGGAUUUUCCAACUAUGGACGAAAGCUAACGUUAGUCUUCUGAGAUUGGUAAGGAUCAUUUCACUACUUACUGUAUUUAAAAACAUCCACGAUUUCAGCUACGUUAGCUUUUGAGCUAGCUAGCAGGUUCUACGCUACAUAGCCAGCCAACCUGUCAAAGUCAGCAGUGUCGUCAGAACAAAUUGAAGUAACGUUAUCCUUAAAAGAUUAGCUAGGAAGCCAAACUGAUCGUCCCUUGGUAAGUUUGUAUUAAGCACAGAACUUUUACUCAUCCUGUGGUAUAGUCGAAAAGUGAACAUAAUAUACUGGAGGUGAAAAUUAGCAAAAUAAAAAAAAACACUUUCAUAACCUGGAGAUUAGCUCCCGCCCUGUGAUCUCUGUUGACCACUGUUGACUGCCCUGGCGGUGUUUUCACUUCUCCAGCCAAUCUGAGAAGCUCUAAACCACCACAAUGGAUGACACUUCUUUAGCUCUUUCUCAUAAACUCAACCUGUCAACGGGGAACUAUGGUACUUCUCCUUCAACUAUGUCUAUCGACAAGCUGCUACCGGCGCUCCUGGAGUGCUUUGGGAUCAUUCUUUGCGGAUACAUCGCUGGACGGACCAACAUAAUCACAUCCACGCAAGCCAAAGGACUGGGGAACUUUGUAUCAAAGUUUGCCCUCCCUGCUCUACUGUUUAAGAACAUGGUGUUGCUGGACUUUGGUAACGUCAUCUGGCCGUUUCUCUGGAGCAUUCUCAUCGCCAAAGUGUCUGUGUUUUUUGUUGUCUGCGUCCUAACACUGCUCGUUGCCAGUCGUGACACCCGGUUUUCGAAGGCUGGUUUGUUUUCCAUCUUUGCCACCCAAAGCAACGACUUCGCCUUGGGGUAUCCCAUUGUCGACGCCCUGUACAGGAACACUCACCCUGAAUACCUUCAGUACAUCUACCUGGUGGCGCCCGUGUCCCUCAUUCUCCUCAACCCACUGGGCUUUGCCCUCUGUGAGGUGCAGAAGUGGCAGAGCAACCGCGAGCAGCCGCAGAGCAAGCUCCGGGUGGUGGGCACGGUGGCGCUCCAGGUGCUGAAGAACCCCAUCAUCUUCAUGGUGGUUGUGGGACUUGCCGCGCACUUCCUACUGGGCCAGAGGAUCCCGCCGUUCAUGGAGCAGUUUGUGGACGGGCUGGCCAACUCUUUUGGUGGGGCGGCGCUCUUCUACCUGGGCCUGACCAUGGUGGGCCAGAUGAGGAAGCUGACAAGAUCCACAGUUGUGGCGCUGAUUCUCCUCAUCACGGCCAAAUUGUUGGUGAUGCCUCUGAUCUGCAGAGACAUGGUUGAGCUCCUGGACACCGGCAACACCAGUGCGGUGAACCACUCCAGCCUCUCCAACUACGCCUUCCUGUACGGCGUCUUCCCCACUGCCCCCAGCGUGGCCAUCUACGCAGCACAUUACAACAUGGAGCUGGAAGUGGUCACCUCAGGGAUGGUUAUAAGCACAUUUCUCUCAGCGCCAAUCAUGUAUGCCGCUGCCUGGCUCCUCACCAUUCCUUCCAUGGACCCCAGGUCGUCAGUUGCAGCUCUGCAGACCGUCAGCUUCAACAUCAGCAUCAUAGGUUUAUUUGCACUAGUGAGUUAUUUUUUUCUCCCCUUUUCUUCUUUUUAUUAUCCAUUUUCUUCAUAGUUUUAUCAUCAGUAAAUUCAAAUAAGGAAAUAAUUCAGGUUCAAGUCGUGUUGGAAUUGGUAGUAUUUGCACAAGGUGAUGUUGGACAAUUCUGUCAAGGGGGAAUGCUUGGUGUGUGCAUAAAAACGGGAUCUGAAACCAGACCUCUGAUCUAGUACCAGCUGUAUUGAUGCAAUGUAAAGGAAGUGUGAUAUAUUGCAAAUAACUUGUAUAAUGCCUCCUGUUUAAACAACCUCUAAAGCUGUCAAUGUUAUUCUGGGCAGAUUGAAGCGGUUAGUAAAUAUGUUUCUGUAUUUGAGUGUGUAAGUCUGUCGGAGCGGUUGUAUGGAUUCACCACAUAGCCCUGGGUCGCACAGACUUACUUCCCCAUACUGGGUGUGGACAAUCACUGUUAUGUUCCUCAGUAAGAAGUUCAAGAGGUUGCCACAUUUGUUUACUGUGAACUUUUUUUUGGCACAG
Clupea harengus (Atlantic herring) is the source of this 2553-nucleotide RNA transcript. It is a transcript of the gene named G protein-coupled receptor 155a, with no coding region annotated. The record is from RefSeq and is a predicted model, not a curated record. Lineage: Eukaryota; Metazoa; Chordata; Actinopteri; Clupeiformes; Clupeidae. The transcript is spliced from 5 exons.